GACGAACGCUGGCGGCGUGCUUAACACAUGCAAGUCGAACGGAAAGGCCUCUUUCGGGGGGUACUCGAGUGGCGAACGGGUGAGUAACACGUGAGUAACCUGCCCUUGACUUUGGGUUAACUUCCGGAAACUGGGGCUAAUACCGGAUAGGAGCUCCUGCUGCCUGGUGGGGGUUGGAGAGUUUCGGGGGUUGGGGGUGGACUCGCGGCGUAUCAGCUUGUUGUUGGGGAGGUGGCUUACCAAGGCUUUGACGGGUAGCCGGCCUGUGAGGGUGAGCGGCGACACUGGGACUGAGGUACGGCCCAGACUCCUACGGGAGGCAGCAGUGGGGAAGAUUGCACAAUGGGUGGAAGCCUGAUGCAGCAACGCCGUGUGCGGGAUGACGGUCUUCGGGUUGUAAACCGCUUUCGCUCAUGACGAAGCUUUGUGUGACGGUAGUGGGUAAAGAAGCACCGGCUAACUACGUG
RNAcentral lists this ribosomal RNA (467 nucleotides) under uncultured bacterium. RNAcentral's name for it is "partial 16S ribosomal RNA". It matches the Rfam family "Bacterial small subunit ribosomal RNA", at positions 28 to 507 of the family's 1533-position model. The record is from RNAcentral.